RNAcentral lists this ribosomal RNA (774 nucleotides) under uncultured Neocallimastigales. RNAcentral describes it as "partial large subunit ribosomal RNA". It matches the Rfam family "Eukaryotic large subunit ribosomal RNA", at positions 18 to 623 of the family's 3401-position model. Lineage: Eukaryota; Fungi; Neocallimastigomycota; Neocallimastigomycetes; Neocallimastigales. The record is from RNAcentral.
UCAGACGAUGCGUCAUGCAUAUCAAUAAGCGGAGGAAAAGAAACUAACAAGGAUUCCCUUAGUAACGGCGAGUGAAGCGGGAAGAGCUCAAAUUUGAAAUCUUCAAGGUUUUACCUUGACGAAUUGUAGUUUAAAGAAGUGUUUUCUGCUGAAGUUUUGGUAAAAGUUCUUUGGAAUAGGACAUCAUAGAGGGUGAGAAUCCCGUAUUUGACCAUUAUUUUCAGCUGUGUGAUACACUUUCAAAGAGUCGGAUUGUUUGGGAAUGCAGUCCAAAAUGGGUGGUAAAUUUCAUCUAAAGCUAAAUAUUGGCGAGAGACCGAUAGCGAACAAGUACCGUGAGGGAAAGAUGAACAGAACUUUGAAAAGAGAGUUAAACAGUACGUGAAAUUGUCAAAAGGGAAGCGUUUGACACCAGUGUUGUUUUCUCGAAAAUCAAUUAAAAAGAGUUAGAUUUUGUUGUGUAUUGACCUUAACAGCUUGCAUUUCAAUUUUCUUGCUUUCUUUAAUGCACUUUUCGUUUAACAAGUCAACAUCAGCUUCUUUUGUUGUAAAAAGGUCAUUGGAAGGUGGCUUUCUUUUCGGAGAAAGUGUUUAUAGCCUUUGACUCCUGCAAUCGGAGAGACUGAGGUCUGCAGCGUAGAUCCUUCGGGGUUAGAUACAUUUGUGCUAAGUUAUAGCUUUUUAUAGACAACUUGUUGACUAUGAUUAGUCUUGUAGCUUACUCGCUUAUGCUAUUUUACCUACGCUUAGGAUGUUGAGUCGUAGAGCACGCAG